AGCAGCCGCGGUAAUUCCAGCUCCAAUAGCGUAUAUUAAAGUUGUUGCAGUUAAAAAGCUCGUAGUUGAAUUUCGGGAUUGGCGUGUCGGUCGUGCCUUACGGGGUAUGAACUGGCGUCGUCGAUUUCUCACCUUCUGGAGAAUCACGAUGCCCUUAAUUGGGUGUCGUGUGGAACCAGGACCUUUACCUUGAAAAAUUAGAGUGUUUAAAGCAGGCAUUUUUGCUCGAAUACAUUAGCAUGGAAUAAUAAAAUAGGACGGUUUGGUUCUAUUUUGUUGGUUUCUAGGAUCACCGUAAUGAUUAAUAGGGAUAGUUGGGGGCAUUAGUAUUCAAUUGUCAGAGGUGAAAUUCUUGGAUUUAUUGAAGACUAACUACUGCGAAAGCAUUUGCCAAGGAUGUUUUCAUUAAUCAAGAACGAAAGUUAGGGGAUCGAAGACGAUCAGAUACCGUCGUAGUCUUAACCAUAAACUAUGCCGACUAGGAAUCAGACGAUGUUAAUUUUUAAUGACUCGUUUUGGC
Molecule: ribosomal RNA, 520 nt
Filed under: uncultured Entrophospora
Lineage: Eukaryota; Fungi; Glomeromycota; Glomeromycetes; Entrophosporales; Entrophosporaceae
Description: SSU rRNA
Rfam family: Eukaryotic small subunit ribosomal RNA
Source: RNAcentral